This 297-nucleotide ribosomal RNA is filed under the name uncultured bacterium. RNAcentral's name for it is "partial 16S ribosomal RNA". It matches the Rfam family "Bacterial small subunit ribosomal RNA", at positions 336 to 632 of the family's 1533-position model. The record is from RNAcentral.
UUCCUACGGGAGGCAGCAGUGGGGAAUAUUGCACAAUGGGCGCAAGCCUGAUGCAGCGACGCCGCGUGCGGGAUGGAGGCCUUCGGGUUGUAAACCGCUUUUGUUCAAGGGCAAGGCACGGUCUUUGGCCGUGUUGGGUGGAUUGUUCGAAUAAGAACCGGCUAACUAAGUGCCAGCAGCCGCGGUAAUACGUAGGGUGCAAGCGUUAUCCGGAUUUAUUGGGCGUGAAGGGCUCGUAGGCGGUUCGUCGCGUCCGGUGUGAACGUCAAUCGCUUAACGGUGGAUCCGCGCCGGGUA